This 449-nucleotide long non-coding RNA is filed under the name Homo sapiens (human). Its description in RNAcentral is "HSALNT0401790". The record is from RNAcentral. Lineage: Eukaryota; Metazoa; Chordata; Mammalia; Primates; Hominidae.
ACGCACAGUGCUGGCGCAAGUCGUCUUGCGCCAGGCGACUGGGUCUGAGGAGGCAGGAGUUAUUCAUUCCCUUAAGCUUUCAGGCCGGGGGGAGAAUCUUUCAGGUGGUAGCUGCAAGAACUCUUAGUAUGUUGACCUCACCUCUGCCUUCCACAUACCACUACCAGUGAGGAAUUAGGAAUGCAUGAGAAGAGUGUCCAAGAAGAGUGUCCUCAUUCAUGCAAGGCUUAAGAGAGAAUGCAGGUCAACAUCACCAUGUCAAUCAGAGAAUACUUCUGUUGGGUUGAAUGACUCUCUGCCCCCAGGCAUCUCAAGAUGAAGGUUUCCUAUUUGUGAUUAUGAAAAAAAUGUCAAGAACAAGUCCCUUGGUGUUCUUAGACCAAAGUCAGAACAACAGACCUAUUUAUGCCUGAAAUGUGUGUAUAAACAACAUUUGAAAGAAGAAAUGG